UACGUAGGUGGCAAGCGUUGUCCGGAUUUACUGGGCGUAAAGAGCGCGCAGGCGGUCGAUUAAGUCGAGUGGGAAAGCCCCCGGCUCAACUGGGGAGGGUCACUUGAUACUGGUCGACUCGAAGGCAGGAGAGGGAAGUGGAAUUCCCGGUGUAGUGGUGAAAUGCGUAGAUAUCGGGAGGAACACCAGUGGCGAAGGCGACUUCCUGGCCUGUUCUUGACGCUGAGGCGCGAAAGCUAGGGGAGCAAACGGG
RNAcentral lists this ribosomal RNA (253 nucleotides) under uncultured bacterium. RNAcentral describes it as "partial 16S ribosomal RNA". It matches the Rfam family "Bacterial small subunit ribosomal RNA", at positions 524 to 776 of the family's 1533-position model. The record is from RNAcentral.